UACGUAGGUGGCAAGCGUUGUCCGGAUUUAUUGGGCGUAAAGGGUACGUAGGCGGAUAAGCAAGUUAGUAGUGAAAUCCUAUAGCUCAACUAUAGUAAGCUUUUACAACUGCUCAUCUUGAGGUAUGGAAGGGAAAGUGGAAUUCCUAGUGUAGCGGUGAAAUGCGCAGAUAUUAGGAGGAAUACCGGUGGCGAAGGCGACUUUCUGGCCAUAAACUGACGCUGAGGUACGAAAGCGUGGGUAGCAAACAGA
This 252-nucleotide ribosomal RNA is filed under the name uncultured bacterium. RNAcentral's name for it is "partial 16S ribosomal RNA". It matches the Rfam family "Bacterial small subunit ribosomal RNA", at positions 524 to 776 of the family's 1533-position model. The record is from RNAcentral.